Erinaceus europaeus (western European hedgehog) is the source of this 653-nucleotide long non-coding RNA. RefSeq lists it as uncharacterized. Lineage: Eukaryota; Metazoa; Chordata; Mammalia; Eulipotyphla; Erinaceidae. The transcript is spliced from 2 exons. The record is from RefSeq and is a predicted model, not a curated record.
UAUGUUGUGACACAGUAUACCAGCCAAUGAUAGGAAGUUGGACACAGCACAUGGCUGAGGUCAGCCUGGUGACAGAGCAUAAAGCAAUCUGAGCAAAUGCACAAUGGACUAUAGGUGGAUGGAUUGUGGGUGAAUCUGAAUGGAUUUAAGCUCAGCCAGCCGGAAGUCCGGCUUUUUGGCUUCUGCUUCUUCUGGUCAGAUGCUUCUCAGCAGAGGGUGAUCAAUGUGCCCAUCAUGGCUUCCUCUCCUGGGAACUGAACACAUGUGACUCAGCUAGCUGCCACCAGGUUCCAGAUGCUACCAUGAUGCUAACCAGAUUUCCCUGGACAGACAACCCCACCAAUAUGUCCUGGAGCUCUGCUUCCUCAAAUCCCUGCCCCAUUUGGGAAAGAGAGAGAGACAGAUUGGGAGUAUGGACUGACCUGUCAAUACCCAUGUUCAAUGAUGAAGCAAUUACAGAAGCCAGACCUUCCAUCUUGUGCACCCCAUAAGGAUCCUGGGUCCAUACUUCCAGAGGGUUAAAGAAUAGGAAAACUAUCAGGGGAGGAGAUAGGAUAUGAAGUUCUGGUGGUGGGAAUUGUGUGGAAUUGUACCCCUUUUAUCCGCUGGUCUUGUCAGUAUUUCCAUUUUAUAAAUAAAAAUUUUAAAAAAGA